Molecule: ribosomal RNA, 124 nt
Filed under: Rhynchostegium muelleri
Lineage: Eukaryota; Viridiplantae; Streptophyta; Bryopsida; Hypnales; Brachytheciaceae
Description: partial 26S ribosomal RNA
Rfam family: Eukaryotic large subunit ribosomal RNA
Source: RNAcentral
CAGACCUCUAAUCGGAAAAGACUACCCGCUGAGUUUAAGCAUAUCACUAAGCGGAGGAGAAGAAACUAACCAGGAUUUCCCUAGUAACGGCGAGCGAACCGGAAAGAGCCCAGCUUGAAAAUCG